CUGACAUGUGUGAGAGUCACCGGGCGAGUAAACCCGUAAGGAGUAAGGAAGCUGAUUUGUUGGUUUCCCCCGAGGGGUGCACCACCGACCGACCUUGAUCUUCUGAGAAGGGUUUGAGUGUGAGCAUACCUUUCGGGACCCGAAAGAUGGUGAACUAUGACUGAGUGGGGCGAAGCAAGAGGAAACUCUGGUGGAGGCCUGCAGUAGUACAGACGUGCAAAUCAUUUGUCUGACUUGGGUAUAGGGGUGAAAGACUAAUCGAACCGUCUAGUAGUUGG
This 278-nucleotide non-coding RNA is filed under the name Capsicum annuum. Its description in RNAcentral is "Eukaryotic large subunit ribosomal RNA". It matches the Rfam family "Eukaryotic large subunit ribosomal RNA", at positions 675 to 954 of the family's 3401-position model. The record is from Rfam by way of RNAcentral. Lineage: Eukaryota; Viridiplantae; Streptophyta; Magnoliopsida; Solanales; Solanaceae.